This 223-nucleotide ribosomal RNA is filed under the name Staphylococcus aureus. RNAcentral's name for it is "partial 23S ribosomal RNA". It matches the Rfam family "Bacterial large subunit ribosomal RNA", at positions 2700 to 2925 of the family's 2925-position model. Lineage: Bacteria; Bacillati; Bacillota; Bacilli; Caryophanales; Staphylococcaceae. The record is from RNAcentral.
GACAUACCUCUGGUGUACCAGUUGUCGUGCCAACGGCAUAGCUGGGUAGCUAUGUGUGGACGGGAUAAGUGCUGAAAGCAUCUAAGCAUGAAGCCCCCCUCAAGAUGAGAUUUCCCAACUUCGGUUAUAAGAUCCCUCAAAGAUGAUGAGGUUAAUAGGUUCGAGGUGGAAGCAUGGUGACAUGUGGAGCUGACGAAUACUAAUCGAUCGAAGACUUAAUCAA